This 72-nucleotide transfer RNA is filed under the name Alcanivorax sp. RNAcentral's name for it is "tRNA-Arg". It matches the Rfam family "tRNA". Rfam says of the family: Transfer RNA (tRNA) molecules are approximately 80 nucleotides in length. Their secondary structure includes four short double-helical elements and three loops (D, anti-codon, and T loops). Further hydrogen bonds mediate the characteristic L-shaped molecular structure. tRNAs have two regions of fundamental functional importance: the anti-codon, which is responsible for specific mRNA codon recognition, and the 3' end, to which the tRNAs corresponding amino acid is attached (by aminoacyl-tRNA synthetases). tRNAs cope with the degeneracy of the genetic code in two manners: having more than one tRNA (with a specific anti-codon) for a particular amino acid; and 'wobble' base-pairing, i.e. permitting non-standard base-pairing at the 3rd anti-codon position. Lineage: Bacteria; Pseudomonadati; Pseudomonadota; Gammaproteobacteria; Oceanospirillales; Alcanivoracaceae. The record is from RNAcentral.
GUGUCUAUAGCAUAAAUGGUAGUGCAAUCGAUUUCGGCUCGAUUAGUAGGGGUUCAAUUCCCUUUAGACAUU